UCGGGGGCAGGCUUACCUUGGGUGGCUCCCGGUCAGCGACACAGUGGGGGUUCUAAGGCAGGCUUCCUGUCUCUCCUGGCACUGCGGCCGUGCUGCGCUGCGGAACGGGCCAGCAGCAGGUCCGGCUCCUAGGCGGAGGCACGCAAGCAGCUCCGUGUGGCUCUCACCCAUAGGCACUGCCCCCCACCAGCUCCCAUUGGCCAGGAACCGGCCAAUGGGAGUGUGGAGCUGGUGCUUGGGGUGGAGACAGCGCAUGGAGCCCUACGGCCCCCUGGGCCUAGGAGCCGGACCUGCUGCUGGCUGCUUCCGGGGCACAGCACGGUGUCAGAAAAGGUAGGGACUUGCCUGCCUUAGUCAGGCAGCACCACCACCGAGACUUUCAAUGGCCCGGUCGGCAGUGCUGACCAGAGCCACUGUGACCCAGUGCCUUACAUUCCAUGACCCAGUACUGGGUCUCGACUCACAGUUUGAAUACCACUGCUUUACAGUAAGUGUUAGAUUUUUGUUUUCCAGGUUAUUAGAAUAAGUUUCUUUCAUAAUGGAAGGUCCCCUUGCUCUCAAGUCAGUUGACCUUCUAGAUGAGAGACAUACAUGCCAGACAAUAAUGGCUGUAGACAAGCAGACUGUAUAGCACUGAAAAGUUCAAUAUGACUAUUGGCAUGGGUCAGCUUCCCUGUCAGGGAAUGCUGGGAAGCCAGCCUUCCUGGCUCCAAGAGUUACAAAAGUCCUGGAAGACAGACAUUUUAUGAAACUUCUGAGACCUGAACUAGAAUUUUGCUUUACAGGAGAUGAGUCAGGAAAUCCCAAUGGACCGUCCAUUGUCCAAACUGAGGAAACAGAAUUUCCAUCUGAAUAAAGAAGCUGGGGAGGAACUUAUAGAAGAGAGACUAUAGUGUAGGUGUUAGUUUGACAAAAUUUGGUAUGGGCAGGGUGGAGAAGUCCUAUAUUUUAUUUCCUAAUUAGAAGGGAAAUUAACUGUUGAAGAUGCAACACGUUUGAGCGGCAAUUACUUGUAGUGCCCCUAGCAAUAGUGACUGGUAUGUAGCAAAAUGGAACACUGAAUAAGGGGAACAUAAAAGUGCCUUCAAGUCAUGUUUACCCUCCCUCGCUAGUCCUGCACCAAGCACAGCUUGGCUGGAGCAAAGAAUCAGGCCCCAUGUACCUUGAACAGCAUUUAGAUGCCUCCCUUCCCUUUGCCUCUAAUAGGGCUAUGGGAUAGGCCUACAAUUGAUAAAUAAACCACACAAAUAUGAACAAACUUUUAGCUUCAUGGAGUUGAACAUGGGGAACUUUAAACAAAAGAAAGCAUUCUUUCCUCACCUAGAGUUUGCGUUUAAAUUCUUAAAUACUUUCAUACCCCCAUUUCUGAAGGGCCUCUGGAAAGUGAAUCUGCCAUGUGUUUCCAAACUUUAGACACUUUCUCUGCUGACGGCUAAACUUUAAAGUACGUAAUCUUUGGGUAUUCCUCAUAACAGCCCCUAGAAAUGUCAGCUUCUAAGAUUCACUAUUUUUCUUGUUUUACAUUGGUUACUUUUUGCCUUCUUUCAGAGUAGGAGCCGUGUUAGUCUGUAUCCGCAAAAAGAAAAGGAGUACUUGCAUGCAUCCGAUGAAGUGAGCUUUAGCUCACGAAAGUUAACAUCAAAUAAAUUUGUUAGUCUCUAAGGUGCCACAAGUACUCCUUUUUUUUUUGCCUUCUGUAUCUAUUGUUCUAAAUGAGCUAACUUGUUGCUAUUGUAUGCUUUUAUAAAUGUAUGUUUCCACUGUACAUUGUACAUUUGACAGUUAGGAAUCAACUAUAUUGCAGGCCAUGACAGGACCUAACCAUUCCAUCUAUCAGUGAAUGGGAUGUAGGCAGUUGUGCAUAGUGCUUGAAGCAGGAGUUAGGCCUACUGGUUAGAGCAGGAGUCAAUAGCCAGGGUCAGAACCAUAGGCUGAGGCCAGAUGCCAGAGCCAAAGGCCAAAGCCAAAGUCAGAAAUUGGUGCCAAAUGUCAGAACCAGGUUACCUGGAGGCAAGGCAGGAGCAGGAUUGGGUCUGAGGCACGUGCUAUCAUAGCGAUGGGCAAAUGCUCUGAGCAGCCGCCAAAUCGCUGGGCUUAAGAGCUGGUCUGUGGACUCUUCCCAAUAAUCAGGCAGUCUACUACAGGCCAGCUGCACUCAUUAGGUUGCCCAGAGACUGGCUCUGCUGCAGGCCCAGAUUCUUGACACCAUCAUGUAACACACUAUAUGGUUUUAUCGUUCUACCUUUUUUCAACAAUAGUUAUAUUUGCACUCUCAUGAUACAUCACUCUGAUACAAUGUAUUGGUUAACAUUUACUUUAUCUGAACAAUCUGAUGUUACUACUCGGUCUAUCCGCCUAACAAUCCAUAUGUAAUGAAUAAUAUCUCUCUAGGCUACCAACAUUAGACAUAGGGAAAAGGGGUUAAGGCUUCCUUGGCAAUCUUUUCGUAAUGUUUCUUUCUAGAAAACAGAUUAUGAGUGAAAUUCAGCCCUGCGUAAUGCGGAUCUAAAUCUAUUCAAAUUAAGGUUGUGAUGCCCACUUACACCAGCACUGAAUGUGAUUUAGAAAAGAACUGUAACAUGAUGGAGUCUGGAUUUAUAAUGCAAAUUCAUAUUGAGAUAGAGAAUAUGCAAAAUAUGUAAAAACAAAAAAUAAUUGAAAACUAGGGGCUCAAUCUUGCAAAGCCUUACUUGAGUAAGUGCUACUAAUGUAACAUGAAGGCUUGCAGGAUGGCACCAUAUAUUAUUUUAUGAAUGAGAUAUAUCCCCAGGUUGCUUUCUUUUGCAUGUAUGUAACAUAUAAUUUAAUCUAAUGAUGUUUUAAUUUGCUUGGGCACAUUUUGUGCACAUUCAAUAGCCUCGUUAACUAUAAAGGCCCCAAUUCAGCAUAGGACUUAUUAGGAUUUAAGAAAGUGCUUAGAUGCUUUGCUAAAUCAGGGCCAAAGGAUUUCUUCAGGCUGAAAAGUAUUAUUCAGCUGAACUUAAAACAUUCUAUCCUCCAGUAAAAUAAUUCCAGUGCCUCUUCACUUAUCAAGGGGUUGCUUAGUUAAACGACCCUUGGCUCCAAAUCCUGACUUUCAGUUUUGUGGAACUUGCUUGUUGCAUUUGCAUUAUUUAGUAAUUUUGACAUAAUAUUUUAAAAAUAUAUUUAUAUGUUUAAACCAAAAAGUUUUUUAAAAUGACAGUCAUUACAAUAUUACUGCUUUUUAGGUGUUGUAAAAAUUACCCGCUUGAAUGAGUAAAAGUGUAGACAUUGUUAAAAGAAUUGUUGCUAACAUGAAUAUUAUCAGUAUUUCAAUUUGUGCUUAUCAUAAUGUAAGAUACUGGCUUAGGACUGAAAUCACCUUUCAAUCAGAAAAGCAAACCAAAUCAUAUCAAAGCAUGCAUAUAUUGUAAGAAGCUGAAUCUCUGGCAAAUAGAAAUGCUAAAGUUAUUUCAUAAAAAUCACCAAUCUUUAAUUCUUUUUCUUUUACGCUUCUCAGAAAAGAGUCUUAUUUUAUUGUAAGUAGUUUAACAUGGGCUGCCUGCUGACAGUAAUGUAUUUCUGCUAAGCAUAUUACAACUAAAGAAUAAACUAAAGUUGCACACAGCUAAAGUGUUUGUACAUUUCAAUCAGUGGUACUUAUUCAAAAGAAUACAGGCUCGAUGCAAUGGAUGAUUUUUGGCUCUGCAGCAGAUGCUCUAUUCAGCAGAAAGGUAAACUAUUUCAUGGAAGUCAUUUUCUUUGUCAAUAUGGACAGUAUUGGCCUGAAUUUUUAACAUACUGGGCUGAUCCUGUCAUUUUUAUGCAACUUAGACUGCCAUUGAAUGUAAUUGGAAUCUUAUGUGCAUAAGGACUACAAGAUCAGCCCUAGUGUAAGGCACAACCAAGCGUAACCUCUCUGCAAACUCAAGAAUGGCCAUUUAGAUUUGCCCAAAGGCAUUUUCCUUUAAAAUAUAUUCUGAAUUCUCUGUCUGAUUACUAAAGGGUGAAAUCCUGUGGCCCCAUUGAAGUAAAUGGCAAAAUUCCCAUUCACUUCACUGGAGCCAGAAUUUCACACUGUAUUUUUACUAACUGUCACAUUCAGAGCACUAAUAAUCAACUCUUAAGAGCUGGGAACCCCCUUUUAUCAAUGAAUGGAGUCACAGCCAGCCACCAAAUAAUCAUGGUGCAACAUCUUAACAUUGUUUUGUAGUAUUUGCCUCAUGAUGCUGGUUUGAUCUCAUCACACCUCAUCACACAUUGAUGCAAAGCAUUGAUGCAAACGUUGUAAGAUAUGUGGCUCUCUGAAACUCCCUUCAAUAAAACAUAAAAAUCUCCUCUCUCUCUUCACUGCACCUUUGGCUGCUGUCAGCUAACCAGGAGAUUGAAAUGCAAAAGUUAGCACACAAAGACAUCUGAUCUCUUCUGGGGAGCUUUAGAAUAUAGCUGAGAACAGACAACUGCAUGGAAAUUAAUCAGACGAAAUACAAAAAGGAACGUCACAAUUUUCUGAAGCAGCAUGUGACAGCUGAAAAACCAGUUGUGUUUUGGCUUUCAUCUCCUUGAAAAGCAUGCUACACAUCAUACAAUGUUGUAAUCCUAACAGCAAAAUACUGUAAUACAUAUCAGUCAGGUGGUCAAUGCUAGGCUGUAUUUAAUUUUUUAAAACAGAAUAGUCAUAUAUGAUUAAAAAUGGGGACAAACAU
This is a long non-coding RNA of Chelonia mydas (Green sea turtle), 4667 nucleotides long. RefSeq lists it as uncharacterized. NCBI's taxonomy places the organism in Eukaryota, Metazoa, Chordata, Testudines, Cheloniidae. The record is from RefSeq and is a predicted model, not a curated record. The transcript has 2 exons.